UCAAAUCACAGCUGCAGUUCCAGCACCAAAGAAAAAAUACUUCAGAUGCUUCAGAGAUUCUCUAUAUCAAUCUGACCUCCACAUUGUGGCCAUUAAUAGCCAUGAUUGAAGAGCACAACAAAUAUUCUGGAUUUCCCUCGUCUGCCCAGCUGUGUCCUCCAAGUCUUCCAGAUGAUCCAGGCACUGAGGAUGUUAAUAAUCCCAAAACAAGCUUCAACUACGCGAGGACAACCAAGACACGGAUGAAGCACAACCUCAAGUAAACCAAAAUGGCAGGGUUGUCACUGUGUCCCCAUCACACUGAUUGUCCUCGAGAAAUUCCUCGACAAAGUCACUACCAUCGAGGCAUAACCUCAAGCCACAUGGCCAGCUCAGGAGGAAGCCAUUUUGUGGCUUUCCCACUGCAUCUGUUGAUCCCUGUGGAUACUUCCUGCCUCCUAUGUUCUAUGAAAGAUGAGAUGAGUGCAGACCACCGGGUAAGGGCGGGAUGCCUGUCCCCGGGAUGCAACAACUGGAGUCAUCUGGGGGCCUAAACGUGGCCAAAGGAUCUGGAGCAGCCUGUCCUCCUCCAAAAAAUGACCAAAUAGGUUGAUUGUUCAACAGUUUAUUACGACACGUUUUAAAGUUUAGCACCUCUAGUGGUCGUGUAAGAAACAACAAUUUGCGGCAUAUGGGCUGAUGCUCCCGUUGACUGCAAACGCUCCGGAGGGUCGUUAUUCACAAAUAACCCUCUCUGGAAAAUA
Long non-coding RNA from Gymnodraco acuticeps, 743 nucleotides. RefSeq lists it as uncharacterized. The record is from RefSeq and is a predicted model, not a curated record. Lineage: Eukaryota; Metazoa; Chordata; Actinopteri; Perciformes; Bathydraconidae. The transcript is spliced from 3 exons.